CCUACGGGAGGCAGCAGUGGGGGAUAUUGCACAAUGGGGGGAACCCUGAUGCAGCGACGCCGCGUGGGUGAAGAAGCGCCUCGGCGCGUAAAGCCCUGUCAGCAGGGAAGAAAAUGACGGUACCUGAAGAAGAAGCCCCGGCUAACUACGUGCCAGCAGCCGCGGUAAUACGUAGGGGGCAAGCGUUAUCCGGAUUUACUGGGUGUAAAGGGGGCGCAGACGGCGAUGCAAGCCAGGGGUGGAAGCCCGGGGCCCAACCCCGGGACUGCGCUGGGAACGGCGUGGCGGGAGUGCAGGGGGGGCAGGCGGAAGGGCUGGUGUAGCGGUGAAAGGCGUAGAGAUCAGGAGG
This 349-nucleotide ribosomal RNA is filed under the name uncultured bacterium. RNAcentral's name for it is "partial 16S ribosomal RNA". It matches the Rfam family "Bacterial small subunit ribosomal RNA", at positions 338 to 704 of the family's 1533-position model. The record is from RNAcentral.